UAAGCGGAGGGAAAAGAAACCAACAGGGAUUGCCCUAGUAACGGCGAGUGAAGCGGCAAAAGCUCAAAUUUGAAAUCUGGCAUCUUUGGUGUCCGAAUUGUAAUUUGGAGAGGCAACUUCAGGCAGGACCCAGUCUAUGUUCCUUGGAACAGGACGUCAUAGAGGGUGAGAAUCCCGUUCUUUGACUGGCUGUUCCUGCUAGUAUGUAGUGCCUUCUACGAGUCGAGUUGUUUGGGAAUGCAGCUCAAAAUGGGUGGUAAAUUUCAUCUAAAGCUAAAUAUUGGCGAGAGACCGAUAGCGCACAAGUAGAGUGAUCGAAAGAUGAAAAGCACUUUGAAAAUAGAGUCAAAAAGUACGUGAAAUUGUUGAAAGGGAAGCGCUUGAGACCAGACUCAGCCUUUGGCAAACAAGUGUCCUUCUGGACAGUGCACUUGCCUCGGGUUGGGCCAGUAUCAGUUAGGAUGGUAGGAGAAAGGCUAGGGGAAUGUGACUCCUAUUUGGAGUGUUAUAGAUCCUGGUGUCAUGCUACCCGUCCUGACUGUGGACCGCGCAUUAGCUAGGAUACUGGCGUAAUGGUCUUCAGCGACCCGUCUUGAAACACGGACCAAGGAGUCUAACAUCUAUGCAAGUGUUUGGGCUACACACCCUCACGCGUAAUGAAAGUGAACGGAGGUGGGAAUUCCGCAAGGAAUGCACCAUCGACCGAUCCUGAUGUCUUCGGAUGGAUUUGAGUAGGAGCAUAGCUGUUGGGACCCGAAAGAUGGUGAACUAUGCCUGAAUAGGGUGAAGCCAGAGGAAACUCUGGUGGAGGCUCCGC
RNAcentral lists this ribosomal RNA (817 nucleotides) under Tuber indicum. RNAcentral describes it as "eukaryotic LSU rRNA". It matches the Rfam family "Eukaryotic large subunit ribosomal RNA", at positions 47 to 879 of the family's 3401-position model. Lineage: Eukaryota; Fungi; Ascomycota; Pezizomycetes; Pezizales; Tuberaceae. The record is from RNAcentral.